GAUGAACGCUGGCGGCGUGCCUAAUACAUGCAAGUCGAGCGAACAGACGAGGAGCUUGCUCCUCUGACGUUAGCGGCGGACGGGUGAGUAACACGUGGAUAACCUACCUAUAAGACUGGGAUAACUUCGGGAAACCGGAGCUAAUACCGGAUAAUAUAUUGAACCGCAUGGUUCAUUAGUGAAAGACGGUUUUGCUGUCCCUUAUAGAUGGAUCCGCGCCGCAUUAGCUAGUUGGUAAGGUAACGGCUUACCAAGGCAACGAUGCGUAGCCGACCUGAGAGGGUGAUCGGCCACACUGGAACUGAGACACGGUCCAGACUCCUACGGGAGGCAGCAGUAGGGAAUCUUCCGCAAUGGGCGAAAGCCUGACGGAGCAACGCCGCGUGAGUGAUGAAGGUCUUCGGAUCGUAAAGCUCUGUUAUUAGGGAAGAACAAAUGUGUAAGUAACUAUGCACGUCUUGACGGUACCUAAUCAGAAAGCCACGGCUAACUACGUG
This 497-nucleotide ribosomal RNA is filed under the name uncultured bacterium. RNAcentral describes it as "partial 16S ribosomal RNA". It matches the Rfam family "Bacterial small subunit ribosomal RNA", at positions 28 to 507 of the family's 1533-position model. The record is from RNAcentral.